GUCUGUGAAGUGUGCGUAUUUCCGUUAUAUCUCAAGAAAAUGCACUCUCUAGCCUGCACCCACACAUUUAA
Long non-coding RNA from Bradysia coprophila, 71 nucleotides. The record is from RefSeq and is a predicted model, not a curated record. Lineage: Eukaryota; Metazoa; Arthropoda; Insecta; Diptera; Sciaridae.